UACAGAGGGGGCAAGCGUUGUCCGGAAUUACUGGGCGUACAGCGCGCGCAGGCGGACCGCCACGUGCCGGUGUGACAAGCCACUGCUCAACAGUGGAGGGCCAGGGUACACGAGCGGUCUGGAGGCAGGGAGAGGGAUGUGGAAUGCCCGGUGGAGCGGUGAAAUGCGUAGAGAUCGGGCGGAACACCAGCGGCGAAGGCGGCAUCCUGGUCCUGUUCUGACGCUGAGGCGCGAGAGCGUGGGGAGCGAACUGG
Molecule: ribosomal RNA, 254 nt
Filed under: uncultured bacterium
Lineage: Bacteria
Description: partial 16S ribosomal RNA
Rfam family: Bacterial small subunit ribosomal RNA
Source: RNAcentral